Molecule: ribosomal RNA, 253 nt
Filed under: uncultured bacterium
Lineage: Bacteria
Description: partial 16S ribosomal RNA
Rfam family: Bacterial small subunit ribosomal RNA
Source: RNAcentral
UACAUGGGGUGCAAACGUUGCUCGGAAUUAUUGGGCGUAAAGCGCACGUAGGCGGUUCGUUAAGUCGGAUGUGAAAGCCCUCGGCUCAACUGAGGAAGUGCACCCGAAACUGGCGAGCUUGAGUACGAAAGAGGAUCGCGGAAUUCCCGGUGUAGAGGUGAAAUUCGUAGAUAUCGGGAGGAACACCGGUGGCGAAGGCGGCGAUCUGGGUCGAUACUGACGCUGAGGUGCGAAAGCUAGGGGAGCAAACAGG